RNAcentral lists this unclassified non-coding RNA (1692 nucleotides) under Hevea brasiliensis (rubber tree). Lineage: Eukaryota; Viridiplantae; Streptophyta; Magnoliopsida; Malpighiales; Euphorbiaceae. The record is from RNAcentral.
CUACAGCAAAUGCAAACUGUGCAUGUAAGUUGAACUUCUGACCCUUAGUCGUUUCUUACCUGUAAUUGUAUAGUUGGUUCUCAUGGUUUCAGUUUAUUUUUUAUGUUCAAAACACAAUACUAGAAGAUUAUUUAUUGCUUUUCAGUUAAGGGUGAGUAGACCUGGCCAUUGGGCCAGUUCUUGGCCGGAACCAGCGGUUCAGGGUUGAGAAAUGGAAUGAACCGGAACUGGACCUUCCCUAGGUGGUUCCAGCCUGUUCCGGCUCAAGGUUCAGGGCUGUAUUAGAUAUGGUUCAUUGAUGGUUUUGGUUUUUGAGCAGUCUGGUUUGGUCCAUGUGGCGUCUCCUUGCGUCUGCCAUGUUGCCUUUUCCUUUAGAAUAAGAGAAAAACUGUUUGGGUUUGACCCGGAGCAGGCCUGGUCCUGAACUGGUCCCUGGCCAGGUCUAAGGUUGAGCCUAUGAAGCUCUGUUUGUGCUUGGCUCAUUUGAAACUCACAACUCUGCUCAUUUAAAUUUUGUAUAGCAUUCUGGAAACACAAUUGUAUAUGCUGCAAAUUACACGUUGUCCAGACGCAAAAUGAGGAAGGUGCUAAACUGAAAGGAUAAUGUACUCGAUUAUUUUUCCAAUACACUCGUGUACUCAUUAGUUAAGCACAAGGAAUGAGUUGAGGAAGUUGUGUAUAUUGGUUGUAGAAGUGAAAGUUUAAGUGUGCAAUAAGUAAAUAAAAGAAAGAUUAGGGGUUACAUAGGUUAAAAUAAAAGAUCAAUGCUAUGAGAGUUUUGUUGAAUAUGAAAGGAAAGGAUAGUUUUUAAUCCAUGGAUUAAAAAAGAAAAGAAAUGAUAGGUUAAGUAAUUUCUCAUGUUUGGAAAUUUCAUGGGAUGUGAAAGGAUUUAAUUAUUAAAGGUAGAAUAAUCAUAUUUAAAAAAUAUUGGUAAUGUUAAUGGGAAGGCAAAAUGGGUUUUGAAGGGAUAACUAAUCCCUCAUUUUUCUCUCUCUCUUUUUUUUUGAAUUUUUUUUUUUAAUAAAGUUGGCAGUGACAGUGGAAACCCACUGUCACACGCCAAAAUCCCUUUUUUUUCUUUUUUCUUUUUUUUAACUAUUGUUUAUUCUUGAAAUAACUAGAAAUAAUUUAAUGGUAAUUUAAAAAAAAUACUAAAAAAAUGUUACCAUUUAAACAUAAAUUCAAGUUACUCAAAUAUAAAAGAGCAUAAAUUUUGGAUUCCUAGUCAAUCCAAAUACGUCUUUACAACACUGAAGGUGCUUCCACCACUGUAAAUUGUUAGGUUAAACUUUAGGCAACAAAAAACGCAUGCAAUUAUUUGGAAGAUAAAUGACUGUUGAGAACCAAUAAGACUGGUUUUAGACGAUCAGACAUCAUUACAGCUCUUGAACAACUAAGCUAGACAUUUCAAAUCUACAGUAAACAGUUUCGAAAGCAUUUCAUUGCAAACUAAAUGAUUUUAGCACAACAAUAAUAAUCAACUUGAAAUGGCAAGUAAACAACAUUAUUUUCAAUAGAGGAUUUCCAUAUAUCACAAGGGUUUUUCUUAUGAAUCAUCAACAACCAAUGUUACAGAAUUGCAACAAAAAGUAGCUAACAAAUGACCAGAUAAAUUGCCAUCCCAUCCCAUCACAACACAAUUUAAAAAGUAAAAUUAGAGAAUAAUACCUUAUGUGUUGCUGGGAUACAUGA